RNAcentral lists this transfer RNA (63 nucleotides) under Protobothrops elegans. RNAcentral's name for it is "tRNA-Met". RNAcentral also lists the same sequence under 3 other names. Lineage: Eukaryota; Metazoa; Chordata; Lepidosauria; Squamata; Viperidae. The record is from RNAcentral.
AGUAAAGUCAGCUAAAAAAGCUACCGGGCCCAUACCCCGAAAAUGUCCACAGGACCUUUACUA